GGUAAUGUAUGUAAUCUGCUCGGGAUGAUUGUUUCUCUUUUAGCUUUUAUUUCAGGCAUUGAAUAUAGGAACAAUAAGGCUGCAGAGAUUGGCACAUAUAGUUGAAGUAGGAAAGCAAAGAAAUGAGUACAAUGAAUAAGCAGUUUUAAUGUGCUCUAGUACUUCGUUCAUAAUUCUAAAAAUGCUCCCUUGAUUUUAAAUCCUCCAAUUCGGCAUUUGGAUUUUUAUUGGAAGGAUAAAAGAUCAAAUAAUGCUAAAUUCUCAUCUUUCUUUAGAAUAAUUUCAAAUUACAAGCGCGGUUUAACAAUAAAUUUAUAAAUAGAUUGAAUUGCUGCAAUUUUUUUUGACAGGGCUAUUUCAUGCUCUCGUAAUCGCAACACUCAGUCAACAACUGUAAUUCAUGACUGUAACAAAUUAUUGAAUCGGCUGUUUCUUGUUCGGGAAGAAUAGACAUUUGACUUUUUUCCCUGUUUGACAGAACAGAAUUUGUUGAAAUUCUUGUAUACUGACUGAAACCGUUCUUUGAUUUACAAUCUCGUAAAGGAGUUGGGAAAAAAAAUUACUCUAUAGCUUUUAAAUGUCUAGUUUCUUCUAGUGAUAUUAUCUUACUGCCUAUUUUUAAAGCUACAAUUAGUAUCUUAUUACGAUUUAGUCAUAGGUUGUUCUAAAACUUCUCCACAUUCGAUAAAAGAAAAUUAUGUCGGCUUGAAUUUAAAAUCUGAAUCCACUUUUUACCUACUAGAAAUGCAAUACCUCCCUUUGCCAGAUGCAUAUUUUUCUUUCGUUAUUCUCAAUUGUUCUAAAGCUUCAUGCAGAUGUAAUAUUCUUUUAUUCAUAGCCUUGGAGUUAAAUUCUGCUGUAAGGUGUAGUCCGCUGUAGAGUUGAAUUCCGUUGUCAUCUUUAUUAACCCACAACUAACGAACUAAUCUGCGAUAACUCAAAUUCUAGUCUGACGAGGUCCUGUGUAUUAUUCAAAUGUAAAAACGAAAUAUACUUUGAGGAGUAAUUGUGUUGGUUUUUUCAUAAGUAAUUUUAAGUAGAAGUUAGAACGAAAGCAUGUAGUGAAUGCGAGCGAAUUAUAUUUGAAACAGCGAAGUGGUCAAAAUAGGAUCUAGGUAAUCUUUUAAAACUAAUUUUUUAGACGAAACAUUUCGUUUCAGCUUUAAAAUGUCCCAACAUGAAACUAUUCUGGACUUGCAAAAAAACGUUUUGGACAAAAUUUGCGUACUUUAUCUACGUGCUAAGAUAUAAUAUUUAUAAUAUAUUUUUAUAAGAUGGGAUAGGCAUUUAAAAGGAAACUUGAAGAAAAAUUGUUGUGCUUAAAAUGAAAUCAAAACAGCUUGAACCAAUUUUGAUCAAAUUAGGUCUUAAAAUGGAGAAGGGCAUGAAAUAAUAGUGGAGUUCCGUCCAUCUGAAAUCGGCAGUGAAUUUUAGUAAGAUGAAUAUUUAAAAUUACGAGAUCAUUUAGUUCCUAUUUUAAUUGGUUUAAAAAUUGUUCCUUUAAAAUUGCUCGGACGUGUAAUGUCGAAAAAAUACUCAAUUAGGUUUCCUUACUCUUUUGGAAAUUCACUUCUGAGAACCUUCUCGGAUGAUUUUUAAGAAUAAUUUGAAAGCCUUCAGAAUGCAUUCGAAUCAAUAUUUCUGAUAUUGUGUUAAAAUGCGAAAGAAAUAUUCUUAAUCUUUGGAUAUUCUGUGCAAGCGGUCUCUAAGCGGCCAGAUUACUACAAUAAUGUGGUCAUUACUUGGCAUUGUCUGGUGCAAUGGGAUCUUUGCUGUUUUUCAUACCAUGUACUUGAGAACAGAAAGAAUAAAAAAAUGAAUGAUAUUUUUGGGAACUUGGAUCUUCAGUUUGUACUGAAAGAACUUGCUCUAUGUUUUUAAUGUUGAUUCAUUUGGAGUCAUUACCAUAUGCAUUGGUUAUCUGUUGGAAAAAGGACAUAUUCCAAUGCCAUUUCGAACACUACUGUUUGGAAUUGAAACUCGGAUACUAUCGAAAGCGGAUACCUGCAUAUCCGAGAAACCAUUUCAGGAUGGAAUCGAAAUGAUAUCGGUUGGGAAACAAAGAACCUGUAUUAUUUCUCUUCUGGUGAAUAGACGUGCCAUCCACCACAAAAGAGACUGGUUUCUACAUCCCACAUGACUUAUGAUUUGUCAAUUUUACUGGAUUCGAGAAAAUAUUCCUUUAAGAAAAUAGAUUUACCAAUUGAUGUAAAGAAAUUCAAACAUGAUUGGGACAUGUCUUUCAAAGUAGUUGCAGCAUUUUCAUUUCCCUCAACACGGAUAAAUUAAAGCACGUGUCAUCCUGAGAUCACUUUCUUUGUAUAUAGGGACAGAAUGAAUCCGAGAUCUGAGUUUGUCAGCGUGUGACAUCCAUGAGCAAGAUCGUCUUCAAUAGGACAGCGUUCGGGUAGGAAUCGCAAAGAGCUGAAAUGUUCCAGGUAUAUGCUAACAUGAAAUAACCGAAAUGGGCGAAGGGAAAUAAUUCUCUGGUUUUCGUUUAGCAUUUUGAAAUUAAUCUUACAUUUAUGGAUGGAGAGUCAGAAGAUAUGGCUAAUAAUCUGUAAAAUCCUCAAUGCAUAUCACGCCAAAAAACGCGACUACGAAUACCGAUCUUCAGAACUAAACUGAUAGCAAUUUGGAUAGCCAGAAAAGGAUCUAUUCGGUAUCAACCUGAGAAAUCGGCAUGUUGCAAUAAUUUGGAUAACUAUCCUUCUUAAAUGAAUAUAGGAAUAAACAUGCCAUCAACCAUCAGAAGACCGACUGCAUUCUCAACUCCUUGACGAAUUGACAAUUUAAACAGGAUACAGAAAAUAUUGAAGAUGACAUCGAAAUAGAAAUACAAAUACACCUAUGAUGCAGAUUCAAUCCAUAAUUACUUGGGAACAUUUAUUGAGACGGAUGCAACCAACCAUUUCCCAAUACAAGAAUCAAUGAAAUCGAAACGCGUAUGAUUGGAUCAACUUGUCCAUGUAAGGGUAGAAUUGAUCGGUCGCCUGAGAAUGCUACAAUCGCCUAGAACUUCGUUGCCUUCCAACCAAGUACCUCUUCAGAUGGUGAAACUGAUGGGAUAAGGAUGUUCCCAGAUGCCUGCUCACAUGUUUCAACUGAAAUGAUUGCAAUAAAGCAAACGUUUUGACCCGUCAUUAAACGCAUUUUGGAAUUCGAAGCUUCUACAAGUGAAUUGCGAGAUAAGAUUGAGGUGAUCCAAUUGAUAUUUUGUAAAUCAUGUGAUUAAUUUCAAGCUCAAUUUGUAAUUAAAUGCUAGUAUAAAACCCCCAAUAUAUGAAGAAUCUGCUAGAAAUAUUUCUUCGAUAUGCGUUAAUUCUGAAUAUCCAGGCAUGUUUAAAAUGUUUGCUCCUGAAUUAAGGUUAAGCGAAAUUUGUAUAUUUACUUUUUGCAGAAUACUAUUGACAAAUGGUGAACCACUUUGUUUCAAACUCUAUGAAAGCUUGAAGUUAGAGCUAUAACUUCCGUAUGUUUUAUAUCGCCAUUAUUUGUUCAAAACGAUAAUUGAUAUAUCAACCAAUAUUUAAUCUUUGCUCAUUCAGAAAGAAACUGAAUAAAAUUACGACAUGUAUUGUAAUGCCUAUUCAGUUCUUUCAAAGCAUAUUUUGUACUCUUUUGUAAACAAGCUCUGGAAAUUAUUUUUAGAUUGUAGCGAAAUUCCUGGUGAUAUAUUUUGUGGUUCACUAUUUUGCUAGCAAUCCCUUUUUCUUAAAAGAUGGAAGCACGAUACAUUUGUUCGCUGUAUAAUGAAUAAAAUCUUUGUUUAAAAUUGUACUUGUGACCAUGCCUAUUUGAAGGCAUGUUAAUUAGCCUAUUAUGAGCUCUGAAUUCAUAAUUAUUAUUACAACUAUAACUUGGAGCUAAGAAUUGGAAUUAUUCCAUUUAUUUUUCCCCAUAGUAUUUUUUGUCUUCCACCAUAAUCAUUUGUAUUAUGAUAUUGGUGAAUUGUUAAUCUUAAAUGACGGACUUCCACUGUAUAAUUUUGAAAAUUGAGCUUUUCUAUUUUUGAAAUCUUGUUAAACUUCGCUAUAUCGGUAGAAUAUCUUGCUGUUUAAUCUGAAAUUUUAUGAAAUUGCUGCUCUUCUUACUAUAGUAUCGAGUCAAUUCAUUUGUCUUCAUUUUGCGAGUGUGAAAUGAAUAUCAAAGAAUACUACACGAUUAAAAAUAUUAUAUGGAUAAUUGUAGUACCUAUAUCAAACUUUGUAUAUUUUAUAAGAAUCUUGAUAUUCUCAUUUGUAAUAGUUUUAGGAUUUGGGAAUUUAUCUUAUGUAAUAGAAAAUUUCUAUCUUGAAUAAGAGCGUUAUUCCAAAAGCUCUCUAAAAUGAAAUUAUGUUUGAUAUGUAAUAUAAAUUGUAUUAUUCAGUUAAUAUAAUGCACGAAUAGACUUCCUUAACGGAAGAAACGUGUUUGUAUUAUGUAUAGAAGACGAGGUAGAAAGAUGGAUUGUCAACAUUCAUAUUUGUUUUCCAGAAGAAUAUUCGAAAUAAGAUCAAUCGAAAUUUCAAAUAUUCUAAAUUAAGGAGCGUGCUACAAUGCCGCGUUUUGAUGAAAUAUCUUAAUAUUUAUUGUUUAAAAAAAUAUUAGCAAUCAUAUUUCAAAUAUUAACUUCUUAAUUUCAGAAUAUUUCAUAAUUGUUAAUGUAAUUAUAUUAAAGUGUUUCAAUUUCUUUAUCUUAAAAUUCUUAACAUUAAUUUUUUGC
Long non-coding RNA from Argiope bruennichi, 4705 nucleotides. RefSeq lists it as uncharacterized. The transcript has 8 exons. Lineage: Eukaryota; Metazoa; Arthropoda; Arachnida; Araneae; Araneidae. The record is from RefSeq and is a predicted model, not a curated record.